Molecule: ribosomal RNA, 253 nt
Filed under: uncultured bacterium
Lineage: Bacteria
Description: partial 16S ribosomal RNA
Rfam family: Bacterial small subunit ribosomal RNA
Source: RNAcentral
UACGUAGGGGGCAAGCGUUGUCCGGAUUUAUUGGGCGUAAAGAGCGUGUAGGCGGCCAUACAGGUCCGUUGUGAAAACUGGAGGCUUAACCUCCAGACGUCGAUGGAAACCGUAUGGCUAGAGUCCGGAAGAGGAGAGUGGAAUUCCUGGUGUAGCGGUGAAAUGCGUAGAUAUCAGGAGGAACACCGGUGGCGAAAGCGGCUCACUGGACCGUUACUGACGCUGAGGUGCGAAAGCUAGGGGAGCAAACGGG